AUUGAACGCUGGCGGCAUGCCUUACACAUGCAAGUCGAACGGCAGCAUGAUCUAGCUUGCUAGAUUGAUGGCGAGUGGCGAACGGGUGAGUAAUACAUCGGAACGUGCCCUGUAGUGGGGGAUAACUAGUCGAAAGAUUAGCUAAUACCGCAUACGACCUGAGGGUGAAAGUGGGGGACCGCAAGGCCUCAUGCUAUAGGAGCGGCCGAUGUCUGAUUAGCUAGUUGGUGAGGUAAAGGCUCACCAAGGCGACGAUCAGUAGCUGGUCUGAGAGGACGAUCAGCCACAAUGGGAAUGAGACAAGGCCCAGACUCCUAAGGGAGGCAGCAGUGGGGAAAUUUGGAAAAAGGGCGAAAGCCUGAUCCAGCAAAGGCGCGUGGGUGAAGAAGGCCUUCGGGUUGUAAAGCACUUUUGUCCGGAAAGAAAUGGCUCUGGUUAAUACCUGGGGUCGAUGACGGUACCGGAAGAAUAAGGACCGGCUAACUACGUG
RNAcentral lists this ribosomal RNA (490 nucleotides) under uncultured bacterium. Its description in RNAcentral is "partial 16S ribosomal RNA". It matches the Rfam family "Bacterial small subunit ribosomal RNA", at positions 30 to 507 of the family's 1533-position model. The record is from RNAcentral.